AUAAAAAUCAUCCAGCCUCUUCCCUCUGUACUGUUGAAUCUCAUCACAGUAAAUCCACUGAUUCUGCGGGAAGUAGAACUAAAAUCAAGUCCUAACCAUUGGUCACUCAAGAAUUGCUUCUUUGCCAUAUCUGAUGUCUCUGCUGGAGAAAAGCAACCAAGGAGAAAUAAUUAAAGCUUGGGCAAAGAAAGCUCUUCUAGUCUGGAUGAGCAUCAGGUGAGAUAAUGAGCUGGUUUACCUUGAGAAAACCACAAGUAUCUUCUUCAUCCCUAUUGGAGAUGGUCUUCAUUGAGAUCAGGUGUACCUAGGCUACAAGAAUGAAUGCCUAGGUACUGCCUCCAGGUUGGGUAGGAUGACUGAAGGCCAUAUGCUGGGAGUCAAGAGCAGGUGAAGG
This 394-nucleotide long non-coding RNA is filed under the name Salvator merianae (Argentine black and white tegu). RNAcentral's name for it is "lncRNA (ENSSMRG00000011937.1)". Lineage: Eukaryota; Metazoa; Chordata; Lepidosauria; Squamata; Teiidae. The record is from RNAcentral.